Long non-coding RNA from Salvia splendens (bonfire salvia), 1055 nucleotides. RefSeq lists it as uncharacterized. The record is from RefSeq and is a predicted model, not a curated record. Lineage: Eukaryota; Viridiplantae; Streptophyta; Magnoliopsida; Lamiales; Lamiaceae. The transcript has 2 exons.
CGUCUGCACGCUCCCCCUCUCUCUCUCCCGGUCCAGCCUCACGCCGCCGCCGAGGUUCCACCAACGCAGCCGUCGUCGCGGAUCCGCCAUCGCUGCACAGCUUCUCCUCCGUCACAGUCUUCUCUCGCCAAACUCCCGGAAGUGAAGAAUUGAGGUGUGGGGCUGUCAAUGUUAGCAACAGAGUGCCGAAACUCAUCUGCCGGAAUCCGACAGAUUCAUUUUCAUGAGAUAAGAUUCUUAAUUUAUGCUUACCUUGGUUGUAGGACUUGGAUUAUAUAUUUUAUAUGAAUUUGCUGAUCCUUGAACAAUUAUCUUGCUACUUGAGAUUUGAUGGUGAAACACGGUAUUAAACUUGCUGUGUAUUCUUAAUUUCUGAUUUGGGCAGAUUUUAAUUUCUCUUUAUAUAUGCAAACAUAUGUGCAAGAAGAGAAAGGUUUGGGAUUUACCUUCUUAUGUGGAAUAAAGUGUUGUUGGAUUGAGGACUUGAUCUUACAAUUAUCUGCAACUCUCCUUCCUCUAUUCAUGUUGGGUUGGGGUGUGUUGAGAACUUAGAAUUUGAUGGUGAUGUGGGUGAGACAAAAAGAUUUGUAUAUAUGUACAUAUACAUGAAAGAUGCAAGUGGCGUAUCUUGCAAGAAUAAUAUGCAAGUGAUAAGAUGCAAGUGGAGACCUAUCUUUUAAAAUAUUACAGAAUAGGAUAUGAUUUUACAAUAUGAUUUUAGGAUAUGCUCUGUCAGAGGAUAGGAUAUGAUUUUAGGAUAUAAUUUGAUAUGAUUUCUUCGGCCAUUCAAUUAAUGCAACAUUUAAUGAUGCUGAUAUUACUUGAUUCUAUCAUACCAUUCUCUCCCUUUUUUUCUUCUUUUUUUUAUUUGCUUAUUAAUUUAACUAUUAGAGUAUUUGUUCACUUAUUCAUUUAAUUGGUGUAGGUAUACUCGGUUCCUGUUCGUGGCCGUUCGUGUUGAAGUACCCGCUUCCAUACGAUGUAUAAAUUAAAUUUUGUUGGACUUUUGUUGGAUAUAUCGGACAUUAAAAUUUUUAUUUGGUGUUAUUUUUUUA